RNAcentral lists this Y RNA (112 nucleotides) under Prolemur simus (greater bamboo lemur). Its description in RNAcentral is "Y RNA (ENSPSMG00000007177.1)". It matches the Rfam family "Y RNA". From Rfam's summary of the family: Y RNAs are components of the Ro ribonucleoprotein particle (Ro RNP), in association with Ro60 and La proteins. Lineage: Eukaryota; Metazoa; Chordata; Mammalia; Primates; Lemuridae. The record is from Rfam by way of RNAcentral.
GGUUGGUCUGAAUGUAGUGAGUUAUCUCAAUUGAUUUUCACAGUUCAUUACAGAUUGAACUCGUUGUUCUACUCUCUCCUUCUUUCUCACUACUGUACUUGGCUAGUCUUAA